GACGAACGCUGGCGGCGUGCUUAACACAUGCAAGUCGAACGGAAAGGCCCUGCCUUUGUGGGGUGCUCGAGUGGCGAACGGGUGAGUAACACGUGAGUAACCUGCCCUUGACUUUGGGAUAACUUCAGGAAACUGGGGCUAAUACCGGAUAGGAGCUCCUGCUGCAUGGUGGGGGUUGGAAAGUUUCGGCGGUUGGGGAUGGACUCGCGGCUUAUCAGCUUGUUGGUGGGGUAGUGGCUUACCAAGGCUUUGACGGGUAGCCGGCCUGAGAGGGUGACCGGCCACAUUGGGACUGAGAUACGGCCCAGACUCCUCCGGGAGGCAGCAGUGGGGAAUAUUGCACAAUGGGCGGAAGCCUGAUGCAGCAGCGCCGCGUGCGGGAUGACGGCCUUCGGGUUGUAAACCGCUUUCGCCUGUGACGAAGCGUGAGUGACGGUAAUGGGUAAAGAAGCACCGGCUAACUACGU
RNAcentral lists this ribosomal RNA (467 nucleotides) under uncultured bacterium. RNAcentral's name for it is "partial 16S ribosomal RNA". It matches the Rfam family "Bacterial small subunit ribosomal RNA", at positions 28 to 506 of the family's 1533-position model. The record is from RNAcentral.